AUGAGAAUUCAAAAAACAUCACACCCGCACCGGGGAAUGCAACAAAAUUGCAACGACACCCUCUUGGUGAUGUCUCUAACAUUGACAUGCAUUCCCAAAUGGGUUCAUGUAUGUUACCCCAUAUCAUAUGUGCCUUGCGAAUCACCACCUUAUCGUAUGUGUUUCAUUUUUUAUUUGAUCAAACAUGUGUAUUUGCUUUUCAUAUCUGCACAGGCUUGCUCAACAAGCCUAAUGGAACCCGCAUGGAAACUCUGUUGUAUGGACAGACAAACACCCACCCACCCCCUCAUGGCCAUGUCCUUGAUGUUAAUCCGCCAACCCAGAUGA
This 327-nucleotide ribosomal RNA is filed under the name Triticum aestivum (bread wheat). RNAcentral describes it as "partial small subunit ribosomal RNA". The record is from RNAcentral. Lineage: Eukaryota; Viridiplantae; Streptophyta; Magnoliopsida; Poales; Poaceae.